RNAcentral lists this ribosomal RNA (651 nucleotides) under Triticum aestivum (bread wheat). RNAcentral's name for it is "partial small subunit ribosomal RNA". The record is from RNAcentral. Lineage: Eukaryota; Viridiplantae; Streptophyta; Magnoliopsida; Poales; Poaceae.
AUGGAUGGUUUUGCAAACCCGACAUGCGGCGAUGUGUACCAUAUAACUGGAAUUAACCCAUGCAAGUCGAAGAAGGAUUGGCCGGUGCUGCCGGCUGGCGUCACGUUCGAUCCCACGGAUCAGGAGCUGAUCGAGCACCUUGAGGCCAAAGUGAGUGCUGACAGCGUGAGAUCUCACCGUCUCAUCGAUUUGUCCAUACCAACCAUCGACAGCGAGCACGGCAUAUGCUACACCCAUCCUGAGAAACUUCCAGAUGUUAUGAAAAUGCCAACUACGUACACUAAAACCUGUUUUCGACAAUACUGCAGGUAUCACCCUGAGUGGCCUAAGCAAGCAUUUCUUCCAGCGCAAUUCCAGGUGUUCAAAAGGGGCAUGUGGACACAUCGCAAGAUACAAUCGGAGUGCGGCAUGCACGCGAUGUGGCACAACACCAGCAAUACCUUGCCGGUGAUGGUCAACGGCCGGCAGACGGGCAACAAAAAGGUUGUGGUGCUGCACACCAACAAGAACUUCGACCAGCAGAGGACCAACUGGGUGAUGCACCAGUACCACCUCGGGGACCUGGAGCAAGAGAAGGAGCGGGAGCUGGUCCUCUGCAAGAUUUUCUACCAGACGAACACUAGGGCUAGGAGUAAAAAGAUUAUAAGUUAG